Molecule: ribosomal RNA, 492 nt
Filed under: uncultured bacterium
Lineage: Bacteria
Description: partial 16S ribosomal RNA
Rfam family: Bacterial small subunit ribosomal RNA
Source: RNAcentral
AGUGAACGCUGGCGGUAGGCCUAACACAUGCGAGUCGAACGGCAGCACAGUAAGAGCUUGCUCUUACGGGUGGCGAGUGGCGGACGGGUGAGGAAUACAUCGGAAUCUACUUUUUCGUGGGGGAUAACGUAGGGAAACUUACGCUAAUACCGCAUACGACCUACGGGUGAAAGCAUGGGAUCUUCGGACCUUGCGCGAUUGAAUGAGCCGAUGUCGGAUUAGCUAGUUGGCGGGGUAAAGGCCCACCAAGGCGACGAUCCGUAGCUGGUCUGAGAGGAUGAUCAGCCACACUGGAACUGAGACACGGUCCAGACUCCUACGGGAGGCAGCAGUGGGGAAUAUUGGACAAUGGGCGCAAGCCUGAUCCAGCCAUACCGCGUGGGUGAAGAAGGCCUUCGGGUUGUAAAGCCCUUUUGUUGGGAAAGAAAAGCAGCAGGUUAAUACCCCGCUGUUCUGACGGUACCCAAAGAAUAAGCACCGGCUAACUUCGUG